GGCGUAUCUUCUGCUGACAAUAAACGUGCUUUUAUGAUAAACUACCGAGAGAUCCGGUACAAGACAAUCUUGAAAAUUUGCUGGAUGACUUCUGAACGACCAAAAGUGACAUGAAGGAACAAGUCAAACCCAUCUCCCAAGAUGGCCUGGAUUUCGGGAAACCGCAGGGGGCCCGGGGGGCCGUGUGGCUCGGCUCUUCACAGUCAGUGUGAACGGGACCAGCGCUCGGAGUCGGCCCUGGUGGAACACGGCGCACUCCCAAGCGUUCUGCGCCAGCGUGACGUUCCUCACCACGAGCCGGAACUCGCCCGCGGACUCUUGUGCCUUGCGGUAGGAGAACGUUUGGUGACUCUGCGUGUCGAUCCACAGCAGUCUGGUGAACCUCUCUGCACAAGAAACGGCGCAGACCAGGGAGCCAUUCUUUCCCUCAGUCAGCUCCACGGGCUCGGAGUACACUGCAGGGGCAGACACACACAAUGCUGUGACUUAACAUAACAUAACAUAAUGUAGCAUAACACAACACUACACAACGACAAGAACAACAACAAGUCCCAUACAGUUUUACAUGUGCUAAUACUAGUAUCAGUGCAAUAGUCUGAACCACGGCUGCCCAACCCUGCUCUACCAUCCUGUAGGUUUGGAGAUCUACUGUCCUGUACGUCUUCACUCCAACCCUAACAAAGCACACCUCAUUCAACAGCUAGAGAUCUACUGUCCUGUACCUCUUCACUCCAACCAUAACAAAGCACACCUCAUUCAACGGCUAGAGAUCAUCUCAUAGAGCUGCCAAUUAGUAGAGUCUAGUGUGCCAAAUUAAGUUAGAAAUGAAAACCUAUACGAUGGUAGAUCUCCAGGAACAGGGUUGGGCAGCCCUGGUCCAAACAGUUUGGCAUGCUAAUACCAUAUAAACGCCUCAAAAUUACAUUCCGUUUUUAACGAGCAAACGCAUUUUCUGUCUCCGUUCCUUAUUGAAAUGUAGCCAAACAUGAGAGCUCAGGGCUGAGUAGGUCUGCUGCAGAGGAUUUGCUGGAAGAUUAAAUUUCACUCCAUCUUACUACUUUUUUGUAAAAAAGCAUUUUUGCAGUUCCUAAAUAAGCGUAAUAGUGGGAAUGUAUAAUGGCUGACAUUACCUUUCACUGUAAUUAUUUCAUAAGUGCAUUGCUUGUGAAGUUUGUCGCCAUCACAAAGAGCGCAUCGAUAUUGUCCAGAGUCAUUCCAGAGCAGAGGGGAGAUGUUCAGUGAAAAUUUGUUGCCGGACCCACUCUUUACUUCAGACCGAUUUCCAAAGUGCUCCAGGUCUGAGCCAGACCGUUUGCAGUCUCCUUCAGACCCAGUCUGUCCUGAACCAGGCCGUUUGCAGUCUCCUUCAGACCCAGUCUGUCCUGAACCAGGCCGUUUGCAGUCUUCUUCAGACCCAGUCUGUCUCCAGCUCCAAAAGCCCUCAAGCCUUUUUGGUGUUAGAUGUUCACAAAAGAGAUGCAACGAGCCGGUCCUGCUGAUUCUGUACACAGGCGUGCUAUCCUUUACACCUGGGAAAAAAUAAUACAUUCGCUUGAUAUGUAUGUAUGUAUGUACAGUAUGUAUGUGCAUAUAAUUACAGUUAAAAUGAUAUUCAAACAUAAUAGGGUUGCAUAUAUUUCUGCUUAUAAAACGUAUUAAAAUUUGAAUGAUUAUUUAACUACUUUUCAACUCUGUACAUGUAAUUUGUAUUAUAUAAUUCAAUAUUGUAAUGUUUCAAUCUGUAAUAUGUGAUUCAAUACUGUAUUUGCCCAGCUGUUCCAGUUUCACUGCAGAUUUGUUUUGUUCUGUUCCAUUGAUACAGUAGUAUAGGCCUUCGUUUAUCUUCUGGAAGUUUUCCACCAGCAGAUCUGCAGUGCCGUUGACCACUAAUGUCUUGAUGUUACUUGAUGUCUGAUUGGAGUCCCAUUCCCACUUCGGAAGAAAACUUCUCUUUGAUGUGCAACGUAACAUGGCAUCCAAUCCACGCAGUACCUGGAUGACUUUAUCUAGCAGAACAAACAUUAAAAUGGUUUCCACGCAUUCACAAAUAAUUCAGCCAAAUACACAACCAACCAAUUCUUGAAAUCAGAUGGAAAUAUUAUGCACUUCUACACCCGAAAGCUUUUCACAAGAGAUGACCGUUACUCUGAAACAGCCCUGCUAUGUAACCCUUUCGAUUGUCAGAUGUUAACUUACCUUUUGCAAAAACAGGAGUAUAUUCUGGUGUAAGAAACAACAGAAUCCAGCAACCAAUGGUAAAAUGAUGAAUCAUUGUUUAAUAUUGAAGUGUGCAUCUGAUGGUGUCAGGGAUUAUUGCUCAUGAGCAAAGCAGAGUGGAACUCCACAUCAUGCUUCCUCUCAGCAAGGAGGUGGGUGCAGUAAUAUCACUUCACCCUGUAAGAUAUAUAUAUAUAUAUAUAUAUAUAUAUAUAUAUAUAUACACGUCACAGAAGGAAGCUAGCCUUAGCCACCAACUGUAGGAUAAUCACUUCCUUUUGUCACUCAGAAAAGCAAACAAAAAAACUCGAGUCCAGUUAGAAAGAGCCUGCUUGUCAUCAUUUGAUUUCAAAAGCAAAGUUUAAUUUAUAAAAAUGUGCAGUACCCUUCCUUCA
Molecule: long non-coding RNA, 2612 nt
Organism: Anguilla anguilla (European eel)
Lineage: Eukaryota; Metazoa; Chordata; Actinopteri; Anguilliformes; Anguillidae
Exons: 3
Source: RefSeq, a predicted model, not a curated record